RNAcentral lists this ribosomal RNA (787 nucleotides) under uncultured Acaulospora. RNAcentral describes it as "SSU rRNA". It matches the Rfam family "Eukaryotic small subunit ribosomal RNA", at positions 325 to 1111 of the family's 1831-position model. The record is from RNAcentral. Lineage: Eukaryota; Fungi; Glomeromycota; Glomeromycetes; Diversisporales; Acaulosporaceae.
AUGGUAGGAUAGAGGCCUACCAUGGUUUUAACGGGUAACGGGGAAUUAGGGUUCGAUUCCGGAGAGGGAGCCUGAGAAACGGCUACCACAUCCAAGGAAGGCAGCAGGCGCGCAAAUUACCCAAUCCCGACACGGGGAGGUAGUGACAAUAAAUAACAAUAUGGGGCUCUUACGAGUCUCGUAAUUGGAAUGAGUACAAUUUAAAUCUCUUAACGAGGAACAAUUGGAGGGCAAGUCUGGUGCCAGCAGCCGCGGUAAUUCCAGCUCCAAUAGCAUAUAUUAAAGUUGUUGCAGUUAAAAAGCUCGUAGUUGAAUUUCGGAAUCUGUCCGUCGGUCGGGCUUCACUGUCCGUACUGGUGUGAUGGGUUUCUACCUUCUGAAUAACCGGCAUGUCAUUAAUUUGGUGCGCCGGGGAAGCAGAACUAUUACCUUGAAAAAAUUAGAGUGCUUAAAGCAGGCUAUCGCCUGAAUAGAUUAGCAUGGAAUAAUAAAAUAGGACGGCAUGGUUCUAUUUUGUUGGUUUCUAGGAUCACCGUAAUGAUUAAUAGGGAUAGUUGGGGGCAUUAGUAUUCAAUUGUCAGAGGUGAAAUUCUUGGAUUUAUUGAAGACUAACUUCUGCGAAAGCAUUUGCCAAGGAUGUUUUCAUUAAUCAAGAACGAAAGUUAGGGGAUCGAAGACGAUCAGAUACCGUCGUAGUCUUAACCAUAAACUAUGCCGACUAGGGAUCGGACGAUGUUAAUUUUUUAAUGACUCGUUCGGCGCCUUACGGGAAACCAAAGUGUUUGGG